UACGGGGGGGGUAAGCGUUGUUCGGAAUUACUGGGCGUAAAGGGCUCGUAGGCGGCCAACUAAGUCAUACGUGAAAUCCCUCAGCUUAACUGGGGAACUGCGUGUGAUACUGGUUGGCUUGAAUCCGGGAGAGGGAUGCGGAAUUCCAGGUGUAGCGGUGAAAUGCGUAGAUAUCUGGAGGAACACCGGUGGCGAAGGCGGCAUCCUGGACCGGCAUUGACGCUGAGGCGCGAAAGCCAGGGGAGCAAACGGG
RNAcentral lists this ribosomal RNA (253 nucleotides) under uncultured prokaryote. Its description in RNAcentral is "partial 16S ribosomal RNA". It matches the Rfam family "Bacterial small subunit ribosomal RNA", at positions 524 to 776 of the family's 1533-position model. The record is from RNAcentral.